RNAcentral lists this ribosomal RNA (446 nucleotides) under Pseudomonas sp. R-45850. RNAcentral's name for it is "bacterial SSU rRNA". It matches the Rfam family "Bacterial small subunit ribosomal RNA", at positions 25 to 471 of the family's 1533-position model. The record is from RNAcentral. Lineage: Bacteria; Pseudomonadati; Pseudomonadota; Gammaproteobacteria; Pseudomonadales; Pseudomonadaceae.
CAGAUUGAACGCUGGCGGCAGGCCUAACACAUGCAAGUCGAGCGGUAGAGAGGUGCUUGCACCUCUUGAGAGCGGCGGACGGGUGAGUAAUGCCUAGGAAUCUGCCUGGUAGUGGGGGAUAACGCUCGGAAACGGACGCUAAUACCGCAUACGUCCUACGGGAGAAAGCAGGGGACCUUCGGGCCUUGCGCUAUCAGAUGAGCCUAGGUCGGAUUAGCUAGUUGGUGGGGUAAUGGCUCACCAAGGCGACGAUCCGUAACUGGUCUGAGAGGAUGAUCAGUCACWCUGGAACUGAGACACGGUCCAGACUCCUACGGGAGGCWGCWGUGGGGAAUAUUGGACAAUGGGCGAAAGCCUGAUCCWGCCWUGCCGCGUGUGUGAAGAAGGUCUUCGGAUUGUAAAGCACUUUAAGUUGGGAGGAAGGGCAUUAACCUAAUACGUUAGUG